Sardina pilchardus (European sardine) is the source of this 468-nucleotide long non-coding RNA. RefSeq lists it as uncharacterized. The record is from RefSeq and is a predicted model, not a curated record. Lineage: Eukaryota; Metazoa; Chordata; Actinopteri; Clupeiformes; Clupeidae. The transcript is spliced from 3 exons.
UACAUUGUUAGCCAGACUCCAGCCUUCACCGUUCCCCGUAUGGGCUUCUCCUCUGGCCGGUUCCGUGUGUCCGCCGACUUCUCGGAGUGCAGCUAGUCGCUGAACAUGGGCCUUAUGACCGACCACAGCAGAGCGAUCUCGGGCGUAACAGGGGGCGGCAACAUCAAGGCGUCUUGGUCCCAGUUCCGACGAACGCUGCUGUUUUGUUUAGUUCUGUUUUGUGUUUGUGUUUGUUUCAUUCCGUUUGUGAGUCGGCUGUGUUUAGCCACCACGAAGUCAGCCCUCAUUGAUUAACUGAAGUGACGACAGGUGUGCUGCUGUUUGCUCACGAGUGACUACGAAUUCAGUUCGGUUAUGGAGGCUAAUUCCUUAGCUUGUUGCACUGCGUGUCAUGAUUUGUCACCAUAAGCCUGCGUGAGUGAUUGUGAUGAUUACACUGUUUGCUGUGACAACUGAGUGCUGUGCAUU